This 851-nucleotide ribosomal RNA is filed under the name Pseudomonas sp. 3Sp109. RNAcentral's name for it is "bacterial SSU rRNA". It matches the Rfam family "Bacterial small subunit ribosomal RNA", at positions 32 to 894 of the family's 1533-position model. The record is from RNAcentral. Lineage: Bacteria; Pseudomonadati; Pseudomonadota; Gammaproteobacteria; Pseudomonadales; Pseudomonadaceae.
AACGUGCGGAGCCUAACAUGCAGUAGGCGAUGAAGAGGGCCUGUCCUGAUUCAGCGCGACGGGGAGUAAUGCCUAGGAUCUGCUUGAUAGUGGGGACCACGUUUCGAAGGAACGCUAAUACCGCAUACGUCCUACGGGAGAAAGCAGGGGACCUUCGGGCCUUGCGCUAUCAGAUGAGCCUAGGUCGGAUUAGCUAGUUGGUGAGGUAAUGGCUCACCAAGGCGACGAUCCGUAACUGGUCUGAGAGGAUGAUCAGUCACACUGGAACUGAGACACGGUCCAGACUCCUACGGGAGGCAGCAGUGGGGAAUAUUGGACAAUGGGCGAAAGCCUGAUCCAGCCAUGCCGCGUGUGUGAAGAAGGUCUUCGGAUUGUAAAGCACUUUAAGUUGGGAGGAAGGGUUGUAGAUUAAUACUCUGCAAUUUUGACGUUACCGACAGAAUAAGCACCGGCUAACUCUGUGCCAGCAGCCGCGGUAAUACAGAGGGUGCAAGCGUUAAUCGGAAUUACUGGGCGUAAAGCGCGCGUAGGUGGUUUGUUAAGUUGGAUGUGAAAUCCCCGGGCUCAACCUGGGAACUGCAUCCAAAACUGGCAAGCUAGAGUAUGGUAGAGGGUGGUGGAAUUUCCUGUGUAGCGGUGAAAUGCGUAGAUAUAGGAAGGAACACCAGUGGCGAAGGCGACCACCUGGACUGAUACUGACACUGAGGUGCGAAAGCGUGGGGAGCAAACAGGAUUAGAUACCCUGGUAGUCCACGCCGUAAACGAUGUCAACUAGCCGUUGGGAGCCUUGAGCUCUUAGUGGCGCAGCUAACGCAUUAAGUUGACUCGCCUGGGCAGUACGGCGAACAAGU